ACUAAUAAGUGUAGAAAACAAGGGAGUGAGUGACGAGUGGUGGAUUUCCACUCAUUUAAAUAACAAUCAUUAUUGUUGGGACCCCUCUCUGUCUAGGAUUAUUGCGUACAAGAUGGAUACAUAAUUGAUGUAAGUCUUAUUGUUUUUAAAUGAGAUUGUUCAUACAUAUCCAUACACAACAACAAAAGCAACAUAUCUGAUGUCAUCCCACAAAUAGGAUUUGAAAAGGGUGAGAUAUACACAAACUAGGGUUUGAAAAGAGGAAGAUUUACAAAAACAUCUUGUUGUGAUUGUGAGAAGAGGGGUCCCAACAAUAAUGAUUCACAUGAAUUUCAUAAGGCAGUAGUUUUGAAAUCCAUUUUAGUGUCCCAUAAACUUCAAAAAACUACUCCCCCAUAAAAUCAAUUACUCUAAUCAAUUUUUGGACAAGAAUUCCAUUCAAGUAUUUAUUAAACUCAAGGUAUGCUUUCUGCAAAAGCAUGGACUACGACAACGUCAACCAAAUGGAGGAAAAAAUGGAAGAAAAUAUCAUGGGAGAGGAAAUUUUUAGUCAUGAGCUUUUAAUGUUCGCUAAAUUCAGCGAUUGGAUGUCCACCUCCACAAAAGAAUAUCAUAAAGGAGAGUGGUCCUCUUAUAAAACGUCUCCAUGGGAACAUCAUACUUCUAUGGGAGAUUCGAGGCCAGUGAAUAGAUGUGUUUUGUUUUAAACUAGACAAGGUUAAACACAUGGUGGAUCAAGAUUUCUAUGACAAUAUUGCCGAAGGGCCUUGUGAUGUUGAAUUGGACGACUUAGCAUUGAAUUGAAGUGUGAAUAAGGGGAUGAAGGUA
Molecule: long non-coding RNA, 828 nt
Organism: Solanum lycopersicum (tomato)
Lineage: Eukaryota; Viridiplantae; Streptophyta; Magnoliopsida; Solanales; Solanaceae
Source: RefSeq, a predicted model, not a curated record